RNAcentral lists this transfer RNA (73 nucleotides) under Felis catus (domestic cat). It matches the Rfam family "tRNA". From Rfam's summary of the family: Transfer RNA (tRNA) molecules are approximately 80 nucleotides in length. Their secondary structure includes four short double-helical elements and three loops (D, anti-codon, and T loops). Further hydrogen bonds mediate the characteristic L-shaped molecular structure. tRNAs have two regions of fundamental functional importance: the anti-codon, which is responsible for specific mRNA codon recognition, and the 3' end, to which the tRNAs corresponding amino acid is attached (by aminoacyl-tRNA synthetases). tRNAs cope with the degeneracy of the genetic code in two manners: having more than one tRNA (with a specific anti-codon) for a particular amino acid; and 'wobble' base-pairing, i.e. permitting non-standard base-pairing at the 3rd anti-codon position. RNAcentral also lists the same sequence under 2 other names. Lineage: Eukaryota; Metazoa; Chordata; Mammalia; Carnivora; Felidae. The record is from Rfam by way of RNAcentral.
GCCUGGCUGGCUCAGUGAGUAGAACACGUAACUCCUGAUCUUGGAGUCAUGAGUUCAAUCCCCAUGCUGGGCG